GACGUAGGGCGCGAGCGUUGUCCGGAAUUAUUGGGCGUAAAGAGCUCGUAGGCGGUCUGUCGCGUCUGCUGUGAAAACUCGGGGCUUAACCCCGGGCCUGCAGUGGGUACGGGCAGACUAGAGUGCGGUAGGGGGGACUGGAAUUCCUGGUGUAGCGGUGAAAUGCGCAGAUAUCAGGAGGAACACCGGUGGCGAAGGCGGGUCUCUGGGCCGAUACUGACGCUGAGGAGCGAAAGCGUGGGGAGCGAACAGG
This 253-nucleotide ribosomal RNA is filed under the name uncultured bacterium. Its description in RNAcentral is "partial 16S ribosomal RNA". It matches the Rfam family "Bacterial small subunit ribosomal RNA", at positions 524 to 776 of the family's 1533-position model. The record is from RNAcentral.